RNAcentral lists this unclassified non-coding RNA (933 nucleotides) under Hevea brasiliensis (rubber tree). The record is from RNAcentral. Lineage: Eukaryota; Viridiplantae; Streptophyta; Magnoliopsida; Malpighiales; Euphorbiaceae.
GUGAUUGUUUUUAUUCAUUUGGCUCUAACCGAGACUUAUACAGAAGACUUUACUGUUUUGAAAACUAGAUAACAUGAUGAAAUUUUAUCAGACCACAAAUCAAAACAUUAUGCAGUAGGUUUAACAAGUUAACAUAAUAGCCAGGAAGCAAACUAAAAAACUACUGAACAUCUCAAAUACAAGUCCAAUAUCCAGACAUACAGAAAGAAAUUUAUCAGAGGUUAAGUCUCAAAUUACAUGAGAACUUAUUGAUCGGAGUCACCAGGGAGGAAAAAUAUCAUGCAGGACUUUCCAAUCUCUGAUAUGCCAACAAAUGUCCAUCUGCACAAUCAAUCAGCUAUCAGUAAAAAAAUUGACAUGGACCAAAAAUAUUUGCACAAGGAUUGCAAGAGAUAGAGAACUUUUUCUUAAUCAUAUUUAAACUGUUGCAUGAACUUUGUCCAAUUCCCCUGUCAGAAAAUGUUCCCAUCACAAUGCCAAAAAAAAGUCAAUUUUAAAUGGUAAAAUUCUCUCUGAGAAUAAUGUCAUAGCAGGCCAGAUACCUUGGCAAAACUUUGUUUUAGCAUCAAUUUACAACUUUUGAACUAUUAACCACAAUGCCAUGAUGAAAGCCUUUUGUAAAAUCUCAAAUAUAAUUUAAUGCAAAAAAAUGUAAGCUCCUGAGUUAAAAUCUUAAUUAAUUAAGAUGUAAAAGAAUUUAACCUUAACAUAUAUCCUCCUCAGUUGGCAUCAAUUUAUUGUAAAGAAUAUUAUGUAGAAUGCAUUAUAAGUCUACACCAUAUUUUAUGCAAUCCGAUUCAAGGCAAUCUUUGGGAUUGUAAUUCCAACUUUUUGGAAAAACACCAUUUUAGAUGUUGAAAAAAAAUAUAAUUUAAAAAAUUGUCUAGCUAUUUUUGAAUUUUUAUGACCAAAACAUGUCAAAUUUAACUUAAA